GUGGGGAAUUUUGGACAAUGGGCGCAAGCCUGAUCCAGCAAUGCCGCGUGCAGGAAGAAGGCCUUCGGGUUGUAAACUGCUUUUGUACGGAACGAAACGGUUCUCUCUAAUACAGGGAGCUAAUGACGGUACCGUAAGAAUAAGCACCGGCUAACUACGUGCCAGCAGCCGCGGUAAUACGUAGGGUGCAAGCGUUAAUCGGAAUUACUGGGCGUAAAGCGUGCGCAGGCGGUUUUGUAAGACAGAGGUGAAAUCCCCGGGCUCAACCUGGGAGCUGCCUUUGUGACUGCAAGGCUGGAGUGCGGCAGAGGGGGAUGGAAUUCCGCGUGUAGCAGUGAAAUGCGUAGAUAUGCGGAGGAACACCGAUGGCGAAGGCAAUCCCCUGGGCCUGCACUGACGCUCAUGCACGAAAGCGUGGGGAGCAAACAGGAUUAGAUACCCGAGUAGUCC
RNAcentral lists this ribosomal RNA (450 nucleotides) under uncultured bacterium. RNAcentral describes it as "partial 16S ribosomal RNA". It matches the Rfam family "Bacterial small subunit ribosomal RNA", at positions 354 to 796 of the family's 1533-position model. The record is from RNAcentral.